Anolis carolinensis (green anole) is the source of this 87-nucleotide microRNA precursor. The record is from Ensembl. Lineage: Eukaryota; Metazoa; Chordata; Lepidosauria; Squamata; Anolidae.
CUCUUACAGGUUUCAUAAUGUAUUUUGGAUUUCAGGUUAUGGGAUGUUUAACCUGAACUUCAGACUACAUUUUUAAAUGUGUAAUGG